UACGAAGGGGGCUAGCGUUGCUCGGAAUUACUGGGCGUAAAGCGCACGUAGGCGGACUCUUAAGUCGGGGGUGAAAGCCCAGGGCUCAACCCUGGAAUUGCCUUCGAUACUGGGAGUCUUGAGUGUGGAAGAGGUUGGUGGAACUGCGAGUGUAGAGGUGAAAUUCGUAGAUAUUCGCAAGAACACCAGUGGCGAAGGCGGCCAACUGGUCCACUACUGACGCUGAGGUGCGAAAGCGUGGGGAGCAAACAGG
RNAcentral lists this ribosomal RNA (253 nucleotides) under uncultured bacterium. Its description in RNAcentral is "partial 16S ribosomal RNA". It matches the Rfam family "Bacterial small subunit ribosomal RNA", at positions 524 to 776 of the family's 1533-position model. The record is from RNAcentral.